Molecule: ribosomal RNA, 253 nt
Filed under: uncultured bacterium
Lineage: Bacteria
Description: partial 16S ribosomal RNA
Rfam family: Bacterial small subunit ribosomal RNA
Source: RNAcentral
UACGAAGGGGGCUAGCGUUGUUCGGAUUUACUGGGCAUAAAGGGCGCGUAGGCGGCUCGCCAAGUCAGGGGUGAAAUCCUCCGGCUUAACCGGAGAAGUGCUUUUGAUACUGGCGAGCUUGAGGGAGGUAGGGGCAGGCGGAACUUCCGGUGGAGCGGUGAAAUGCGUAGAUAUCGGAAGGAACGCCGGUGGCGAAAGCGGCCUGCUGGACCUCUUCUGACGCUGAGGCGCGAAAGCCAGGGGAGCGAACGGG